This 991-nucleotide long non-coding RNA is filed under the name Homo sapiens (human). RNAcentral describes it as "HSALNT0157050". Lineage: Eukaryota; Metazoa; Chordata; Mammalia; Primates; Hominidae. The record is from RNAcentral.
GCCAGAACUGUGAGGGGAGAUGGUGUCAGAGCUGAGCCCUCAAGGUGGGCAGGGAUCAAGCAGGUGCCUGAGGGCAGGUGGAGCAGAGGAGUCUGCAGUCCAGAACUGCAAAGGCAGGGAGGCGUGGGGGUGGUGGGAGAGGCACCCUCCCGGCAUGUCCUAGGCAGGGUGAGCCUGAGAGGGGGGCAGGCCCGCCCACCCUCAGCCUCCAGGCAGCAUUUUGUCUUUUAUCCCCAGGGGAAUCAGGAGCCAUUGAAGAAGUUGAUUUGCUUUAUAAAACUUUCAUUACAUUUUCCUGUUAUACAGGUAAUAUAUAUGCUAGUAUUUUUAAAAAAUUAGUGAGGCCAGAAACAAAUUUGUAAAAAGCCAUCUCCAUCUCACAGCCUAGAUGGGGCCUUUUGGCCAUUAGCGUUUGACCGCUGCUUUCAGACUUUUCAGUGUGAGGUGUCUGGGCUGCAAUGAAACCCACACUGGCACUGGAAAACCCCACCCUGUCUGCAGAGCAGGGAAGGGAGCUUGGGUGAGAGGCCACAGGGGCCGGUGCAGAGCAGGGGAGGGAGCCUGGGUGAGAGGUCACAGGGGCUGACACCAAGCUUCAGGGGUGGGCUCAGAAAACAGACAGGGUCAAGAGACAUUUGAGGGCUUGGAAUGACCGAGAGAAGGUUGGUGGGCGUGUCGCCUGUGAGGUCCUUGCCUUUGGUGGUCUGUGAUGCUACCAGGACUGGAGUGUGUGUGGAGUGGGGGUAGUGUGGCUCUGCCCGGGGAGGAAUGGCCAGGAGAGCACCCUGGAGUAGGGAGCCAAGGGAAAGAUGUUCUGGAGGAGGAAGCCGGCGAGGGCAGAGGCUCUCAGAGGCCCAGGGGAGUCAGGAAGGGCUGUCCCACACGGUGGAAGAGGACAGUUUGACCCGGUCCCAUCAAGAGCAAUGCAGGCUGGAGGAGGGAUGAGGGGUGUGGAGGACCAGGACUGGGGACAGCGAGUGCUGAAGCUGAG